Molecule: ribosomal RNA, 705 nt
Filed under: uncultured bacterium
Lineage: Bacteria
Description: bacterial SSU rRNA
Rfam family: Bacterial small subunit ribosomal RNA
Source: RNAcentral
UUAGAUACCCUGGUAGUCCACACAGUAAACGAUGAAUACUCGCUGUUGGCGAUACAAUGUCAGCGGCCAAGCGAAAGCAUUAAGUAUUCCACCUGGGGAGUACGCCGGCAACGGUGAAACUCAAAGGAAUUGACGGGGGCCCGCACAAGCGGAGGAACAUGUGGUUUAAUUCGAUGAUACGCGAGGAACCUUACCCGGGCUUAAAUUGCAACUGACGGACUUGGAAACAGGUCUUUCUUCGGACAGUUGUGAAGGUGCUGCAUGGUUGUCGUCAGCUCGUGCCGUGAGGUGUCGGCUUAAGUGCCAUAACGAGCGCAACCCUUACCGACAGUUACCAUCAGGUAACGCUGGGGACUCUGUCGGGACUGCCGUCGUAAGAUGUGAGGAAGGUGGGGAUGACGUCAAAUCAGCACGGCCCUUACGUCCGGGGCUACACACGUGUUACAAUGGGGGGUACAGAAGGCAGCUACACGGCGACGUGAUGCUAAUCCCAAAAGCCUCUCUCAGUUCGGAUUGGAGUCUGCAACCCGACUCCAUGAAGCUGGAUUCGCUAGUAAUCGCGCAUCAGCCACGGGCGCGGUGAAUACGUUCCCGGGCCUUGUACACACCCGCCCUCAAGCCAUGAAAGCCCGGGGGUCCCUGAUUGCGUUACCCGCAAGACCGCCCUAGGUAAAACUGGUGAUUGGGGCUAAAUCGUACAAGGGU